GAUUAGCCCUUAAGCACUCGGUGAAGUAGGUGAACAAGCUGGAAAGCUUGGCGAUACAGGGUGAUAGCCCCGUAACCGACGCUUCAUCGAGCGUGAAAUCGAGUAGGGCGGGACACGUGAUAUCCUGUCUGAAUAUGGGGGGACCAUCCUCCAAGGCUAAAUACUCCUGACUGACCGAUAGUGAACCAGUACCGUGAGGGAAAGGCGAAAAGAACCCCUGUGAGGGGAGUGAAAUAGAACCUGAAACCGUGUACGUACAAGCAGUAGGAGCACCUUCGUGGUGUGACUGCGUACCUUUUGUAUAAUGGGUCAGCGACUUAUAUUCAGUGGCAAGGUUAACCGUAUAGGGGAGCCGUAGCGAAAGCGAGUCUUAACUGGGCGCUCAGUCUCUGGAUAUAGACCCGAAACCGGGUGAUCUAGCCAUGGGCAGGUUGAAGGUUGAGUAACAUCAACUGGAGGACCGAACCGACUAAUGUUGAAAAAUUAGCGGAUGACUUGUGGCUAGGGGUGAAAGGCCAAUCAAACUCGGAGAUAGCUGGUUCUCCCCGAAAGCUAUUUAGGUAGCGCCUCGGACGAAUACUACUGGGGGUAGAGCACUGUUAAGGCUAGGGGGUCAUCCCGACUUACCAACCCUUUGCAAACUCCGAAUACCAGUAAGUACUAUCCGGGAGACACACGGCGGGUGCUAACGUCCGUCGUGGAGAGGGAAACAACCCAGACCGCCAGCUAAGGUCCCAAAGUAUUGCUAAGUGGGAAACGAUGUGGGAAGGCUCAGACAGCUAGGAUGUUGGCUUAGAAGCAGCCAUCAUUUAAAGAAAGCGUAAUAGCUCACUAGUCGAGUCGGCCUGCGCGGAAGAUGUAACGGGGCUAAGCAAUACACCGAAGCUGCGGCAAUAUCUUUUAGAUAUUGGGUAGGGGAGCGUUCUGUAAGCCGUUGAAGGUGAAUCGUAAGGUUUGCUGGAGGUAUCAGAAGUGCGAAUGCUGACAUGAGUAACGACAAAGGGGGUGAAAAACCUCCUCGCCGGAAGACCAAGGGUUCCUGUCCAACGUUAAUCGGGGCAGGGUGAGUCGACCCCUAAGGUGAGGCCGAAAGGCGUAAUCGAUGGGAAACGGGUUAAUAUUCCCGUACUUCUGACUAUUGCGAUGGGGGGACGGAGAAGGCUAGGUGGGCCAGGCGACGGUUGUCCUGGUUCAAGUGCGUAGGCUUGAGAGUUAGGUAAAUCCGGCUCUCUCUAAGGCUGAGACACGACGUCGAGCUGCUACGGCAGUGAAGUCAUUGAUGCCAUGCUUCCAGGAAAAGCCUCUAAGCUUCAGAUAGUCAGGAAUCGUACCCCAAACCGACACAGGUGGUCGGGUAGAGAAUACCAAGGCGCUUGAGAGAACUCGGGUGAAGGAACUAGGCAAAAUGGUACCGUAACUUCGGGAGAAGGUACGCUCUUGAUGGUGAAGUCCCUCGCGGAUGGAGCUGACGAGAGUCGCAGAUACCAGGUGGCUGCAACUGUUUAUUAAAAACACAGCACUGUGCAAAAUCGCAAGAUGACGUAUACGGUGUGACGCCUGCCCGGUGCCGGAAGGUUAAUUGAUGGGGUUAGCGCAAGCGAAGCUCUUGAUCGAAGCCCCGGUAAACGGCGGCCGUAACUAUAACGGUCCUAAGGUAGCGAAAUUCCUUGUCGGGUAAGUUCCGACCUGCACGAAUGGCGUAAUGAUGGCCACGCUGUCUCCACCCGAGACUCAGUGAAAUUGAAAUCGCUGUGAAGAUGCAGUGUACCCGCGGCUAGACGGAAAGACCCCGUGAACCUUUACUACAGCUUGGCACUGAACAUUGAACCUACAUGUGUAGGAUAGGUGGGAGGCUAUGAAGACGUGACGCCAGUUGCGUUGGAGCCGUCCUUGAAAUACCACCCUUGUAUGU
RNAcentral lists this ribosomal RNA (1912 nucleotides) under Vibrio cholerae. Its description in RNAcentral is "partial 23S ribosomal RNA". It matches the Rfam family "Bacterial large subunit ribosomal RNA", at positions 296 to 2213 of the family's 2925-position model. The record is from RNAcentral. Lineage: Bacteria; Pseudomonadati; Pseudomonadota; Gammaproteobacteria; Vibrionales; Vibrionaceae.